RNAcentral lists this ribosomal RNA (484 nucleotides) under uncultured bacterium. RNAcentral's name for it is "partial 16S ribosomal RNA". It matches the Rfam family "Bacterial small subunit ribosomal RNA", at positions 30 to 507 of the family's 1533-position model. The record is from RNAcentral.
AUUGAACGCUGGCGGCAGGCCUAACACAUGCAAGUCGAGCGGAUGAAGGGAGCUUGCUCCUGGAUUCAGCGGCGGACGGGUGAGUAAUGCCUAGGAAUCUGCCUGGUAGUGGGGGAUAACGUCCGGAAACGGGCGCUAAUACCGCAUACGUCCUGAGGGAGCAAGUGGGGGAUCUUCGGACCUCACGCUCUCAGAUGAGCCUAGGUCGGAUUAGCUAGUUGGUGGGGUAAAGGCCUACCAAGGCGACGAUCCGUAACUGGUCUGAGAGGAUGAUCAGUCACACUGGAACUGAGACACGGUCCAGACGCCUACGGGAGGCAGCAGUGGGGAAUAUUGGACAAUGGGCGAAAGCCUGAUCCAGCCAGGCCGCGUGUGUGAAGAAGGUCUUCGGAUUGUAAAGCACUUUAAGUUGGGAGGAAGGGCAGUAAGUUAAUACCUUGCUGUUUUGACGUUACCAACAGAAUAAGCACCGGCUAACUUCGUG